Molecule: unclassified non-coding RNA, 329 nt
Filed under: soil metagenome
Description: partial contains 5.8S ribosomal RNA, internal transcribed spacer 2, and large subunit ribosomal RNA
Rfam family: 5.8S ribosomal RNA (bases 1-120)
Source: RNAcentral
GAUGAAGAACGUAGCGAAAUGCGAUAAGUAAUGUGAAUUGCAGAAUUCAGUGAAUCAUCGAAUCUUUGAACGCACAUUGCGCCCCCUGGUAUUCCGGGGGGCAUGCCUGUUCGAGCGUCAUUUCACCACUCAAGCCUCGCUUGGUAUUGGGCAACGCGGUCCGCCGCGUGCCUCAAAUCGACCGGCUGGGUCUUCUGUCCCCUAAGCGUUGUGGAAACUAUUCGCUAAAGGGUGUUCGGGAGGCUACGCCGUAAAACAACCCCAUUUCUAAGGUUGACCUCGGAUCAGGUAGGGAUACCCGCUGAACUUAAGCAUAUCAUAAGCGAGGA